CAGGUCUUGACAUCCUCUGAAAACCCUAGAGAUAGGGCUUCUCCUUCGGGAGCAGAGUGACAGGUGGUGCAUGGUUGUCGUCAGCUCGUGUCGUGAGAUGUUGGGUUAAGUCCCGCAACGAGCGCAACCCUUGAUCUUAUUUGCCAUCAUUAAGUUGGGCACUCUAAGGUGACUGCCGGUGACAAAUCGGAGGAAGGUGGGGAUGACGUCAAAUCAUCAUGCCCCUUAUGACCUGGGCUACACACGUGCUACAAUGGACGGUACAAAGAGCUGCAAGACCGCGAGGUGGAGCUAAUCUCAUAAAACCGUUCUCAGUUCGGAUUGUAGGCUGCAACUCGCCUACAUGAAACUGGAAUCGCUAGUAAUCGCGGAUCAGCAUGCCGCGGUGAAUACGUUCCCGGGUCUUGUACACACCGCCCGUCACACCACGAGAGUUUGUAACACCCGAAGUCGGUGGGGUAACCUUUUUGGAGCCAGCCUCCUAAGGUGGGACAGAUGAUUGGGGUG
RNAcentral lists this ribosomal RNA (507 nucleotides) under uncultured bacterium. RNAcentral's name for it is "bacterial SSU rRNA". It matches the Rfam family "Bacterial small subunit ribosomal RNA", at positions 975 to 1482 of the family's 1533-position model. The record is from RNAcentral.